AUGAAAACAAGAGGUAGCUAUCUAAUCCUCCUUGUCACAAUGUGCUGCCGUGAAAGUGUUGUUCUUCCUAGAAGGUCAAGUACCACUAUCUCCCUAUUAGUGGUGGUAUUGAAAAUCUCAACAGGUGAUUCAGGUUGGGGCGUAGGUUUCACAGACUGCACUAGGAGAUUCUUGUAUCGAAGUAGCUUAUUGAUGUUUCGUCCUCUCCCAUAA
Molecule: long non-coding RNA, 213 nt
Filed under: Prunus dulcis (almond)
Lineage: Eukaryota; Viridiplantae; Streptophyta; Magnoliopsida; Rosales; Rosaceae
Description: sRNA ncRNA
Source: RNAcentral